This 2126-nucleotide long non-coding RNA is filed under the name Pan troglodytes (chimpanzee). Its description in RNAcentral is "lincRNA". The record is from RNAcentral. Lineage: Eukaryota; Metazoa; Chordata; Mammalia; Primates; Hominidae.
GGCCAGCAGUUGGAAGGGAUCCCAGGGAUGGGCUCAGCUACUCAGGGCAGCAGCCAGGCAUCGGUGCAGAGGAAAGCCAACAGAUUUUUCUUUAAAAAUGUGAAACUAGCAGUAUAAACCAGUGUUUUGAAGUACAAAGGUAAAUAGCAGAACAUACCAGUGAACGCAUGUAAGUGGCUGUCUUGUGGGAGAGGAAACUGAAGAUAUAGUGGAGACUAUUGUUUUUGUUUUGCAACGUUUGGGGCUGACUUUCCAGAAUUACCCAGGAUUGACCUGUGGGAGAUAUCUGGGCCCCCUGUGCCUUGCAAAGCUUCACAUGGGUGAUGAUGUUGAAGACCAGGUGCGGAUCAAUGGGGGCUCCAUGGCAAAUGAGAAACAGAGGAAGAAGAACUAACCUUCCUACCCACCAGUGUUCACUGGCACUCAACCAUAGCCUUGCACUUGUUUCUGGAGGAAGGGCCAUUGGGAUCAACUUAAGAACAUGGCAGAACAGAGAUGCUUGCUGAAUUAGUUGGUUGGAAGCACAAAAUUAUUUUAGUAGUUGUUGCAAAUUGCUUCACUUCUCUGGGUUUAAGUGUAGAACUCAAUGGUAAUGCGAAUAGACUUGAUCUCCAUAGGGUCGUUGUAGGGACUCAAUGAGAUAGAUUCUGUAGAGCUUUGGGCUUGAUUGGUGCACAGUGUUCAAUGAGUGUGCUGGGAGAAACUCUUCUCCCCACUUCUGGUGUUUCCUUCCAGGAGGAGAGAGGUCCCUCUGGGUAGCACCCCUGGCCUCUCUGUCUGCUUCCUGGGUUCUGCCUUUGGAAGUGGGAGGUGAUGUGCUUGGUAGAGAAGCUUGAGGGCAGGAGCUGGGUCUGGGUAGCUCAGCUGCUUCCUCUUCCAUUCUCAGGAGCCAGCUGUCUAUGGGAAGCACCCAUUCUGGUCAGCCCCCAUAAGCCAUAAAUGUACAGGGGCAGGCUGGAUCCUUCGGGGAAGGCGGCCCCAGUUAGCGUGGCUAAGUCUGCACAUUCAGGAUAGUGUUCCUAGCUGACACAUUGGGCCUAGUGCCUAGUGAACAAGCAGUGGAACGUGGGGAGCAAAUUAAUACUCAAGGACUGAGGCUUUUGAGGGGACCAGGCCAUCAGAUUUUUAUUUUAUUUUAUUUUAUAUUUUUACAGGCAAGCUGCUAUUUUUAUACAGGCAUAAGCCUUAGCAAAAGUGGGUUGAGUUGGUUCCUGAGGCCUUAGGCUAAGAGCGGCUGCAGCUCACCCUGGGCAAAACCGUGCCUGCCUCAGCAUGGGCCACCAGGUUCUCUGAAGAUGCCAGUAGGCCUUAGGGCCCCUGUGGACAGGCAUUGCAGAUAUGCUUUGAUUAUAGGGAAAAGAAAGUUUACCCAUAUAUAGACUCUUUUAGUGUCUGACUGCUGUUGUAACAAAUUGCCACACUUAGUGGCUUAAGACAACACAACCUUCUUAUCUUGCUGUUCUGGAGGUCAGAAGUCCAAAAGGGUUUCACUGGGUCAAAAUCAAGGUACAUAGUCACGUUGAAAAUAAAGGUGCAUAGUCACGCUCCCUCCAGAGGCUCUAGGAGAGAAUCAAUUUCCAUGCCUUUUCCAGCAUCUAGAAGCCCUCUGUCUUCCUUUGCUGAUGAUCCUUUCCUCCUCCUUCAAAGCCAACAGUGUAGCAUCUUCUCGUCCCUCUCUGUUCUGUUGUUAUAUCAUCUUUACUUCACUCUGAGCCUCCUGCCUCCUCUUAGGAGGACCCUGGUGAUUACAUUUAGGACCCACUGGGGUCAUCUAGCACAAUCUUUCCAUCUCAAGGUCUUUAAUUUCAUCACAUCUUCAAUAUCCCUUUACCAUAGCCACAGGCUCCAGAGACUCAGCCAUAAACAUCUUUGGACAGAAACAUCAUUAUUCAGCCUACCACAUAGACCUUUUUCUUUAAUUUUUAGUUUUAUGAGUACAUAGUAGGUAUAUAUAUUUAUGGGGUACAUGAGGUACUUUAAUACAGGCAUAUAAUGCAUAAUAAUCCCAUUAGGGUAAAUGGGGUAGCCAUCACCUCAAGAAUUUGUCCUUACUUUAGUGUUACAAACAAUCCAAUUAUGCUCCUUUAAUUAUUUUAAGAUGUAUAAUAAAUUUGGAUUGACUGUCA